Molecule: ribosomal RNA, 440 nt
Filed under: uncultured bacterium
Lineage: Bacteria
Description: partial 16S ribosomal RNA
Rfam family: Bacterial small subunit ribosomal RNA
Source: RNAcentral
CCUACGGGCGGCAGCAGUGGGGGAUAUUGCACAAUGGGGGGAACCCUGAUGCAGCGACGCCGCGUGGGUGAAGGAGCGUUUCGGCGCGUAAAGCCCUAUCGGCAGGGAAGAAGAUGACGGUACCUGACCACGAAGCCCCGGCUAACUACGUGCCAGCAGCCGCGGUAAUACGUAGGGGGCAAGCGUUAUCCGGAUUUACUGGGUGUAAAGGGGGCGCAGACGGCAAUGCAAGCCAGGAGUGAAAUCCCCGCGCUCAACGUGGGAACUGCCUUUGAACCUGGCAAACGGGAGGGUGUGAGAGGAGAGUGGAAUUCCAGGUGGAGGAGUGAAAUCCGUAGAUAUCUGGAGGAACAUCAGUGGCGAAGGCGACUAUCUGGCACAUAACUGACGCUGAGGAGCGAAAGCGUGGGUAGCAAACAGGAUUAGAUACCCGAGUAGUC